Molecule: ribosomal RNA, 492 nt
Filed under: uncultured bacterium
Lineage: Bacteria
Description: partial 16S ribosomal RNA
Rfam family: Bacterial small subunit ribosomal RNA
Source: RNAcentral
AGUGAACGCUGGCGGUAGGCCUAACACAUGCAAGUCGAACGGCAGCACAGUAAGAGCUUGCUCUUACGGGUGGCGAGUGGCGGACGGGUGAGGAAUACAUCGGAAUCUACUUUUUCGUGGGGGAUAACGUAGGGAAACUUACGCUAAUACCGCAUACGACCUACGGGUGAAAGCAGGGGAUCUUCGGACCUUGCGCGAUUGAAUGAGCCGAUGUCGGAUUAGCUAGUUGGCGGGGUAAAGGCCCACCAAGGCGACGAUCCGUAGCUGGUCUGAGAGGAUGAUCAGCCACACUGGAACUGAGACACGGUCCAGACUCCUACAGGAGGCAGCAGUGGGGAAUAUUGGACAAUGGGCGCAAGCCUGAUCCAGCCAUACCGCGUGGGUGAAGAAGGCCUUCGGGUUGUAAAGCCCCUUUGUUGGGAAAGAAAAGCAGCAGGUUAAUACCCCGCUGUUCUGACGGUACCCAAAGAAUAAGCACCGGCUAACUUCGUG